UACGUAUGUCGCAAGCGUUAUCCGGAUUUAUUGGGCGUAAAGCGCGUCUAGGCGGUUUAGUAAGUCUGAUGUGAAAAUGCGGGGCUCAACCCCGUAUUGCGUUGGAAACUGCUAAACUAGAGUACUGGAGAGGUAGGCGGAACUACAAGUGUAGAGGUGAAAUUCGUAGAUAUUUGUAGGAAUGCCGAUGGGGAAGCCAGCCUACUGGACAGAUACUGACGCUAAAGCGCGAAAGCGUGGGUAGCAAACAGG
Molecule: ribosomal RNA, 252 nt
Filed under: Fusobacterium varium
Lineage: Bacteria; Fusobacteriati; Fusobacteriota; Fusobacteriia; Fusobacteriales; Fusobacteriaceae
Also listed under: 1 other name
Description: partial 16S ribosomal RNA
Rfam family: Bacterial small subunit ribosomal RNA
Source: RNAcentral